Molecule: ribosomal RNA, 1949 nt
Filed under: human gut metagenome
Description: bacterial LSU rRNA
Rfam family: Bacterial large subunit ribosomal RNA
Source: RNAcentral
UUAAGCGACUAAGCGUACACGGUGGAUGCCCUGGCAGUCAGAGGCGAUGAAGGACGUGCUAAUCUGCGAUAAGCGUCGGUGAGGUGAUAUGAACCGUUAUAACCGGCGAUUUCCGAAUGGGGAAACCCAGUGUGUUUCGACACACUAUCAUUAACUGAAUCCAUAGGUUAAUGAGGCGAACCGGGGGAACUGAAACAUCUAAGUACCCCGAGGAAAAGAAAUCAACCGAGAUUCCCCCAGUAGCGGCGAGCGAACGGGGAGGAGCCCAGAGCCUGAAUCAGUGUGUGUGUUAGUGGAAGCGUCUGGAAAGGCGUGCGAUACAGGGUGACAGCCCCGUACACAAAAAUGCACAUAUUGUGAGCUCGAUGAGUAGGGCGGGACACGUGGUAUCCUGUCUGAAUAUGGGGGGACCAUCCUCCAAGGCUAAAUACUCCUGACUGACCGAUAGUGAACCAGUACCGUGAGGGAAAGGCGAAAAGAACCCCGGCGAGGGGAGUGAAAAAGAACCUGAAACCGUGUACGUACAAGCAGUGGGAGCCUCUUAAUGGGGUGACUGCGUACCUUUUGUAUAAUGGGUCAGCGACUUAUAUUCUGUAGCAAGGUUAACCGAAUAGGGGAGCCGAAGGGAAACCGAGUCUUAACUGGGCGUUAAGUUGCAGGGUAUAGACCCGAAACCCGGUGAUCUAGCCAUGGGCAGGUUGAAGGUUGGGUAACACUAACUGGAGGACCGAACCGACUAAUGUUGAAAAAUUAGCGGAUGACUUGUGGCUGGGGGUGAAAGGCCAAUCAAACCGGGAGAUAGCUGGUUCUCCCCGAAAGCUAUUUAGGUAGCGCCUCGUGAAUUCAUCUCCGGGGGUAGAGCACUGUUUCGGCAAGGGGGUCAUCCCGACUUACCAACCCGAUGCAAACUGCGAAUACCGGAGAAUGUUAUCACGGGAGACACACGGCGGGUGCUAACGUCCGUCGUGAAGAGGGAAACAACCCAGACCGCCAGCUAAGGUCCCAAAGUCAUGGUUAAGUGGGAAACGAUGUGGGAAGGCCCAGACAGCCAGGAUGUUGGCUUAGAAGCAGCCAUCAUUUAAAGAAAGCGUAAUAGCUCACUGGUCGAGUCGGCCUGCGCGGAAGAUGUAACGGGGCUAAACCAUGCACCGAAGCUGCGGCAGCGACACUAUGUGUUGUUGGGUAGGGGAGCGUUCUGUAAGCCUGUGAAGGUGGCCUGUGAGGGUUGCUGGAGGUAUCAGAAGUGCGAAUGCUGACAUAAGUAACGAUAAAGCGGGUGAAAAGCCCGCUCGCCGGAAGACCAAGGGUUCCUGUCCAACGUUAAUCGGGGCAGGGUGAGUCGACCCCUAAGGCGAGGCCGAAAGGCGUAGUCGAUGGGAAACAGGUUAAUAUUCCUGUACUUGGUGUUACUGCGAAGGGGGGACGGAGAAGGCUAUGUUGGCCGGGCGACGGUUGUCCCGGUUUAAGCGUGUAGGCUGGUUUUCCAGGCAAAUCCGGAAAACCAAGGCUGAGGCGUGAUGACGAGGCACUACGGUGCUGAAGUGACAAAUGCCCUGCUUCCAGGAAAAGCCUCUAAGCAUCAGGUAACAUCAAAUCGUACCCCAAACCGACACAGGUGGUCAGGUAGAGAAUACCAAGGCGCUUGAGAGAACUCGGGUGAAGGAACUAGGCAAAAUGGUGCCGUAACUUCGGGAGAAGGCACGCUGAUAUGUAGGUGAAGCGACUUGCUCGUGGAGCUGAAAUCAGUCGAAGAUACCAGCUGGCUGCAACUGUUUAUUAAAAACACAGCACUGUGCAAACACGAAAGUGGACGUAUACGGUGUGACGCCUGCCCGGUGCCGGAAGGUUAAUUGAUGGGGUUAGCGGUAACGCGAAGCUCUUGAUCGAAGCCCCGGUAAACGGCGGCCGUAACUAUAACGGUCCUAAGGUAGCGAAAUUCCUUGUCGGGU